RNAcentral lists this ribosomal RNA (336 nucleotides) under Alcaligenes sp. TG26. Its description in RNAcentral is "bacterial SSU rRNA". It matches the Rfam family "Bacterial small subunit ribosomal RNA", at positions 447 to 779 of the family's 1533-position model. The record is from RNAcentral. Lineage: Bacteria; Pseudomonadati; Pseudomonadota; Betaproteobacteria; Burkholderiales; Alcaligenaceae.
CAGCCUGGGAUAAUACCCUGGGCGACUGACGGUACCUGCAGAAUAAGCACCGGCUAACUACGUGCCAGCACCCCCGGUAAUACGUAGGGUGCAAGCGUUAAUCGGAAUUACUGGGCGUAAAGCGUGCGCAGGCGGUUCGGAAAGAAAGGUGUGAAAUCCCAGGGCUUAACCUUGGAACUGCACUUUUAACUACCGAGCUAGAGUACGUCAGAGGGGGGUAGAAUUCCACGUGUAGCAGUGAAAUGCGUAGAGAUGUGGAGGAAUACCGAUGGCGAAGGCAGCCCCCUGGGAUGAUACUGACGCUCAUGCACGAAAGCGUGGGGAGCAAACAGGAUU